AGAGCACAAUUCUAAAUGGCCCCAUUUCUCUGCCUUGGGAAAGGCAAUUGUCCUCUGCUCUUAAUCAAGCCUCCUGGGAAGUCACCUGCGAUUCUUCAGAAGGUCUAGGCUUCCAGAGAUAACAACAGUGUUGUUAAAAAUUCCUCACUGUGCUGCUUGUUCAAGGAAAAAAUGAAAAUGACUCUAGGGCAGCAGCUCUCAGAGUGGUUUAGUGUGUAUCAGAAUGACCUGGAAGGCUUGGGACCAUACAGGUUGCUGGGAUUCACCAGAGUUUCUGAUUCAGCAGGUCUGAGAAAGAGACACAGCAAGAGAGGAAACACAAGCAGGGGGAGUGGGAGAGAGAGAAGCAGGCUUUCUGUGGAGCAGGGAGCCCUAUUUGGGGCUUGAUCCCAGGACGCCGGGAUCAUGACCUGAGCCGAAAGCAGAAGCUUAACGACUGAACCACCCAGGCACCCCUCUUCAUGAUGUUUUUACUCAAUGAUUUCAGUUCAGAAUUUUCUAACCUCCUUUGAAUUCCUAGAAUAUUUAUUGUCUUGACCAGUUACAUAGAUUUGAAGAAUCUCACUUAUUUAACAGUUUGCUAUAUUGCAGACCCCAAGCUGAAGCUGACAAUGAAAAGCUAGAAUUCUUGCUUUUGAGGAGCUCCUAAUCUAUCACAGGAGGCAGACAUAAGAUGACCACCUUAUUCAUAUAUACCAUAUACGUGAAUAUGUUACAUAAAUGCAUGUGAUUUAUGUGUGUAUCAUAUAUCAUAUAUAGAUAGAACAUAUACUUCCUUAGAGGAUAAUCAUUCAUUUGUAUAUCUUUCUACAUAGAGGGGGCAAUUUCAUAUCCUGUUAACUUCUUGAAGAUAGUAGUGGGUCUUCUUUUGAGCUAUGUUCAUUAUUUUAAAAAAAUUGGUAGAAAAAUUAUACUUUAUAUAAGGAUUACAUGAAUUGUCAUUUCAGAAAUACAUUUUAUUUAGUAAAGUUUUUCAAAAGUUUAAGUCCAUAGUGGAGGAAGAAAGACAGAUAAAUAGAAAUCACUUUUUCACCAACAACUAGCACUUCAUCAUGAAAAAAGCCUUGAGCAGGAGUUAAGAAGACAAAGUUUUUGUUUUAUAGCAAAUAAUUCUUCUGUAAAAUGAGUGAGUCUAAUUAGAUGAUCUCUAAGUUUCUUUCAGAUCUGAAGUUCUGUGGUUCUGUUGUCUUUUCUCACAAUCCAAAGCACAAUGCCUUGCAUGUGAGAAGGACUAGGUAAAUGAAGGAAUCUGAGUACUAUUUUGGAAGUACCAGACUAUUUUCUAUUCUACACAUUGCUAAAGUAUAAGUAUCUCUGUUUCUGGAACAAAAUGGGGUUCUUAGACUGAAAGUAAAAAUAAAAGUUCAGACUCAGGAAAAACUAUUUAUUUGAAAAUGAGUUAUGUAACAACUUUUAUUCCCUAUUAACUAAAAAGAAAAAAAAAAUCUCAAUGUCCUAAAUACCUUGCUGAGGAACAGGCUGUUUAAAUAGCACAAAGUGAAGUGGAGAUUUGGCAAUUAGUGGGUAAAUUUGAUAAAUUCAGAUUAUGAGAGAUUAUGAUUCAUUCUAGGGCAGUUCUUCAAAAAUCAUCAAUCAGAACACUUCUGGCAAUGCUGAACUGCAGAUGAAUUCUUCAACUGACAAUAAUUAGAAAUGAAUAAAACUUAAAAGUAUUUUUCUUUGAAAGCAUCUGAAAGAUACCAAGACAGAGAGAAGUGAGAGGCCAAAAUGCUAGAAAGAAGAGACACACACAGGUAAACAUAACUUUUGUUGCCUUUCUCUUUCAAGGUAUUGGGUGAUUCACAAGUGGUAGAUUAAGAAGCUGAACAGAAAAUGGAGGUGGAGAGGCUGAGUUUCUAUCAGUGUUAUAUAGGUGAAGGAACAAUACUGGAAUCCAGAGCCCACCAAGAAAGAAGGGCUCUAGUUAACAUUUCAGUCUGUCAUUUGGGAUCCCCAAAAGAUUGCAUCCUAGGAGUAAGGAAGAAAUAGAAAUAGACAACUAUUACAAAAAAUGAAAUCCUUUUUCUUACCAGCUAGCUCUUGAUUGGGUUAAAGUGAUCUGCUCUUACUCUGAAUACUUGCCAGAAGCAAAAGUAAAAAAUCUCUGGAGGACUAUAAUAUCACACAGAGCCUUGGAUUAUCUCCAUACCUUUUCAUCUUCAAUGUCUGGUGUGCAAUAAAACUUUACUAGGCAUACUAGCAGACAAACCAAAUGAUCAAAAAUCAAGCAGAAAACCAGAAAAUGGCUAUAGAACAACAAAAAUAUCCAAUAUUUGAGGUAGCCCACACAGGCUUUAAAAUAAUAUGUUUAAGAGAUUCGAU
Molecule: long non-coding RNA, 2322 nt
Organism: Mirounga angustirostris (Northern elephant seal)
Lineage: Eukaryota; Metazoa; Chordata; Mammalia; Carnivora; Phocidae
Exons: 3
Source: RefSeq, a predicted model, not a curated record